GAUGAACGUUGGCGGCGUGCCUAAUACAUGCAAGUCGAACGGAGAUUGUAGCAAUACGGUCUCAGUGGCGAACGGGUGAGUAACGCGUUGGUGACCUGCCCCGAAGUGUGGAAUAACAGAUCGAAAGAGCUGCUAAUACCGCAUAAUAUCCAGAGGACUAGAUGCCUUUGGAUUAAAGGAUUUAUUCGCUUCGGGAGGGGCCUGCGUCCCAUCAGCUAGUUGGUAAGGUAAAGGCUUACCAAGGCUAUGACAGGUAGGGGACCUGAGAGGGUGGCCCCCCACAAUGGAACUGAAACACGGUCCAUACACCUACGGGUGGCAGCAGUAGGGAAUAUUAGUAAUGGGCGAAAGCCUGAACUAGCAACGCCGCGUGUGCGAAGAAGGCCUUCGGGUUGUAAAGCACUUUUUGAGAGGAUGAGGAAGGACGGUACUCGUCAGAAUAAGUCUCGGCUAACUACGUGCCAGCAGCCGCGGUAAUUACGAGACUACG
Molecule: ribosomal RNA, 490 nt
Filed under: uncultured bacterium
Lineage: Bacteria
Description: bacterial SSU rRNA
Rfam family: Bacterial small subunit ribosomal RNA
Source: RNAcentral